Pelobates cultripes (western spadefoot toad) is the source of this 765-nucleotide non-coding RNA. NCBI's taxonomy places the organism in Eukaryota, Metazoa, Chordata, Amphibia, Anura, Pelobatidae. The record is from the annotation of a GenBank genome assembly.
GCUUGUUGCUGUUUUCGUUGCACAAGACAACAAUGAACACAGAGACAAUAAGGAGUAAACACACAAAAUGCAACAUUGUCCCCUCCGAGAGCAAAAACCAUAUACUCCUCUGUAAACCCAUCUGUCAUUUCUAGCAGCUCAAAAUAUAUCACAGAGCUCCACAGCAAUGCGCAGUGUGAGUGCAUCACAGAGCUCCACAGCAAGAAAACUCAUAGUAAUGUGCAGUGUGUGAGUGUAUCACAGAGCUCCACAGUAAUAAAACUCACAGUAAUGUGCAGUGUGUGAGUGUAUCACAGAGCUCCGCAGCAAUAAAAGUCACAGUAAUGUGCAGUGUGUAUGAGUGUAUCACAGAGCUCCACAGUAAUAAAACUCCCAGUAAUGUGCGGUGUGUACGAGUGUAUCACAGAGCUCCACAGUAAUAAAACUCCCAGUAAUGUGCAGUGUGUAUGAGUAUCACAGAGCUCCACAAUAAUAAAACUCACAGUAAUGUGCAGUGUGUAUGGGUGUAUCACAGAGCUCCACAGUAAUAAAACUCACAGUAAUGUGCAGUGUGUAUGAGUGUAUCACAGAGCUCCACAGUAAUAAAACUCACAGUAAUGGGCAGUGUGUAUGAGUGUAUCACAGAGCUCCACAGUAAUAAAACUCCCAGUAAUGUGCGGUGUGUACGAGUGUAUCACAGAGCUCCACAGUAAUAAAACUCCAAGUAAUGGGCAGUGUGUAUGAGGGUAUCACAGAGCUCCACAGUAAUAAAACUCCCAGUAAUGG